This 1000-nucleotide ribosomal RNA is filed under the name Lactiplantibacillus plantarum. Its description in RNAcentral is "bacterial SSU rRNA". It matches the Rfam family "Bacterial small subunit ribosomal RNA", at positions 26 to 992 of the family's 1533-position model. The record is from RNAcentral. Lineage: Bacteria; Bacillati; Bacillota; Bacilli; Lactobacillales; Lactobacillaceae.
AGGCCCGGGGCGGGGGUUGCCUAAUACAUGCAAGUCGAACGAACUCUGGUAUUGAUUGGUGCUUGCAUCAUGAUUUACAUUUGAGUGAGUGGCGAACUGGUGAGUAACACGUGGGAAACCUGCCCAGAAGCGGGGGAUAACACCUGGAAACAGAUGCUAAUACCGCAUAACAACUUGGACCGCAUGGUCCGAGCUUGAAAGAUGGCUUCGGCUAUCACUUUUGGAUGGUCCCGCGGCGUAUUAGCUAGAUGGUGGGGUAACGGCUCACCAUGGCAAUGAUACGUAGCCGACCUGAGAGGGUAAUCGGCCACAUUGGGACUGAGACACGGCCCAAACUCCUACGGGAGGCAGCAGUAGGGAAUCUUCCACAAUGGACGAAAGUCUGAUGGAGCAACGCCGCGUGAGUGAAGAAGGGUUUCGGCUCGUAAAACUCUGUUGUUAAAGAAGAACAUAUCUGAGAGUAACUGUUCAGGUAUUGACGGUAUUUAACCAGAAAGCCACGGCUAACUACGUGCCAGCAGCCGCGGUAAUACGUAGGUGGCAAGCGUUGUCCGGAUUUAUUGGGCGUAAAGCGAGCGCAGGCGGUUUUUUAAGUCUGAUGUGAAAGCCUUCGGCUCAACCGAAGAAGUGCAUCGGAAACUGGGAAACUUGAGUGCAGAAGAGGACAGUGGAACUCCAUGUGUAGCGGUGAAAUGCGUAGAUAUAUGGAAGAACACCAGUGGCGAAGGCGGCUGUCUGGUCUGUAACUGACGCUGAGGCUCGAAAGUAUGGGUAGCAAACAGGAUUAGAUACCCUGGUAGUCCAUACCGUAAACGAUGAAUGCUAAGUGUUGGAGGGUUUCCGCCCUUCAGUGCUGCAGCUAACGCAUUAAGCAUUCCGCCUGGGGAGUACGGCCGCAAGGCUGAAACUCAAAGGAAUUGACGGGGGCCCGCACAAGCGGUGGAGCAUGUGGUUUAAUUCGAAGCUACGCGAAGAACCUUACCAGGUCUUGACAUACUAU